Molecule: long non-coding RNA, 1654 nt
Organism: Entelurus aequoreus (snake pipefish)
Lineage: Eukaryota; Metazoa; Chordata; Actinopteri; Syngnathiformes; Syngnathidae
Exons: 6
Source: RefSeq, a predicted model, not a curated record
AUUGACCGGAAGUUGCAUCAGCCAAGCAGAGACAUCUACGGAGGACCACUUUAUGCUGGUUCUUUUCCAAGAAAUACUGCAUAUAUCUUUUCGUUAAGGUUGCAUCGCCGGUAAGCCAGAAGCAAUAAAAGAUCCUUGAACAGCCUCCAGAGGAAUUCCCCUCCAGCCACUGGAAAAAGUCAGAAUGUUAGUUGUGAUUUUGGUUCUUACCCCGCCUCCUCAGCACCAGACACACCAGCAGCACCAAGAGCAGCACCAGGAUGAGGAGCAGCACCAAGCUGCCAAUCACGAUGCCCACCACCUCGCCCACGUCCAGACACGUGUCUGCAAGGGGAAGACGUGUGAAAAGUGUUGAGAAGAACUUACAGAAGACGGUGAGACUCCUGGAGGCGGUGAGGGCGCUGAGCGGGUUGCUGACGGUACACGUGUAGUCGCCGGCGUCGCCGCGCUGCCCCGGGUUGAUGACCAGCACGCCGUCAACGAUGGUGAUCCUGGAGUCUUCGGCCACGGCCACGCCUCCUUUCCCGAACUGAAAGCUGACCUCCGUGCCGCCCGAGGUGCACGUCAGCGUGAUGUUCCCCCCCUCCACCGCCACCGACGGCACGGCGAGACUCACGCCGGCCACCGCCUCUGGAAGGACAACAUUUUUGGUGGCGUCACGUGCAGGAAGGAAGUUUGAUGUUGGAGGUGAGGAUGCAGGUGGCGAGUAAAGGGCAGGAAAAAGAGCGGUGGACUGGAUGCUGGCCUGAGUGGAACCACCGGCAUGAGGAAGGAGAACUGUGAUAUUGGAUGGAGAUGAAACAUCCUUUUAGUCACUGCAGUACUUGGCAGCCACCAGCAGGGGACAACACAAAAAAAGAACUGCUAGUUCUCAAGUAGAAAAACAGUAAGAGUAAACAGGGGGAUGACGUGGCACCAUUGGGAGAGUGGCUGUGCCAGCAACCUCAGGGUUCCUGGUUCGACCCCCAACUUCUACCAACCUCGUCACGUCCGUGCUGAACCGGUCUGGAGUUCCCCGUCAUGCCAGUGGAGGCCAGAGGUUCCACCUCCACCGUGUACGCCCCCGCGUCCUCCAGCCGGGUGCUGCUGAUGCGCAGCUGCGUGGCCGUGAUGGUGACCCGGCCGCGGAACUGCGGCACGUCGUUGAUGACGGGCCCGCCCCCGACCCACAGGCCCAAGGUGUCCCCCUCGUAGAGCCAGGUCAUGGACAGCACGUCGGGAGUGGUCAGCACCGUGAACUGGACCUCCGUGCCGGUCAGGACCAGGACGGGGUCAGUCUGGAACUGGAUCUGGACCUGGUCCUGGGCCUGCACCAGAGCUGGAGGGCACACAAGCACAUUGAAACAACUUAGGUUGACAAACAACACAAUAACUCGUCAAAAGUCAGAAAAAAACUUAAUUUUCUUGUUCAAAAAAAUGUUGCAUUAAUAACAAAAACAAAUGUGCUAAACAAAAACAGGAAGAAAAAAAAAUAUUAUUUUUAUUUAUUUUUUAAGUUAAAUCUUUUUAUACUUGCGACAGAAUAAAUAUGACUAUGUUCAUGAAAAAUGUAUUUUUAAUGGAGUUCAAAGAGUAAUACGUGUCUUCAGAUCCUGUUCAUCAGCACCAAACAAUGGUCUAGAAACAAAAAGCAGGCUUCACUACACAUCCUAAA